UGAAAACAGAUGAGAAAUGAAUGGGAUCAACACCAAUGCAAAGCUCAAGAUGUCUAGUAUGCACAUGUAAAAUUUCAUGAUCAUCCAAUAAGAUAUGAGAAUUUCCCAAAUGAAAUGGCAAGAUGUGUCACACAAAGUCAACAAUUUGGUCAAACAGGGGAUAAAAUCUCAAACAAUUUGGAAAUGGCAUAAUUAAUUCCAAGAAAAUUCACACACAAACUAGACAU
This 227-nucleotide long non-coding RNA is filed under the name Lathyrus oleraceus (garden pea). RNAcentral describes it as "Pisum sativum (pea) long non-coding RNA (PSAT_LNC029532)". Lineage: Eukaryota; Viridiplantae; Streptophyta; Magnoliopsida; Fabales; Fabaceae. The record is from RNAcentral.